RNAcentral lists this long non-coding RNA (4317 nucleotides) under Zea mays. Its description in RNAcentral is "long non-coding RNA (ZMAY_LNC005716)". Lineage: Eukaryota; Viridiplantae; Streptophyta; Magnoliopsida; Poales; Poaceae. The record is from RNAcentral.
UGAGCCACGUCUCCGAUUUCGUGGGUCCGGGACAAUAAAAACGGACCUCGCCCACGAAAUCCCGACCCUAACCCGAACCAUUAGCACCUGGCAAAGCGAUUCGUUGGGAGCAGCAGCGGCGCAAGGUGAGGCCAUCAUCGAAGACCUCUCGGCACCGCUAUUGAGAUCUCGGUGGGGAGCUUUGGCGCAAUGUUGAACCUCUAGGGGCACGUCCAUGGCCUUAGCGGGAGUCAUGGCGCAUUGUGAUCGAGUUGAUUCCCCGCCAUCGUCACACCGCCGUCGCGGAUCCGCUCAACGCCAUGAACCACUAAACCUCCUGCGUAUACCACGGUGAGUACGCCCCCACUGAUUUCGCAUGGUCUUUCACUACAUGUACCAUAGGUCGGAUUGGGAAAUAGUUGUAGAAAUCGCCAGUGACGCAUGUUCCGGCCAUGCCGCCGCCGUUGUAGACAUGUCCGAUGGCCGGAGUUGGGGCAGUAACAGUUACCGUUGGAUCCCGUAGCUACGACGCGGAUUUGAUCCUGGCACAUCGCUUGGGUAGGCAUGAUCUAAACUGUUAUGAUCCGAUCGGACGGAUCUGGGCAGUCUCGGGUCGGAUGAGAUCUACACCGUAGAUUUUGGAUCCCGGGGUCGACGUCGAAUACGUAUUCAAGGUGAUGCUAGAUCUAAUGCGGGCCGUAUGAUAUGGAUCCUACGGUCCACAUUCCAUACCGAUUCGCUUAUAGCACAACUUAAUUUGGACCGUAGAUCAGAUCGAGCGGCUGAGGGCAUCCCUACCCUUUGGCCAGGGAAAUUUAUUAAAGAGACCCCACAGAAGUUAGAUAUCAACCCGCGGUCCGGUGCCACUGUGUACUGAGUCUCGGGAUCUCUUACACAGUUGCCCCUGGGUUUCUGUUUAUUACGCGCACAGUCCAGAGUGUUGUUAAAUGAGAGAAAAUAUUUAUAAAUUGUUUUUUGAAUAUAGAAAUAACUGCAGAAACUUAUUUAAUUGCUAGAAAAUUUAUAUUAAGUCCAAAUUGAUCCAUUCCAGUUCCUAUAAUUUUGUAUUAAUAUUGUCUAUAACUCAGUCACACUGUUUUAACAUGAAAAUUGUAUUAAAAGUGAUCUCUUAUUUAAUCUUGUACCAAACACAUAAAACCUUUGGAAAUUCAUAACUUAAAAUUUGUAACUCCGAAUUUAGUGAUUCUUUUUCCUAUGAUCUCAUUUUAAUGUGUAGAUUAUUAAUAUGUAUUUUGUAUACAUAUUUGGUGUGAUGUUAAUUUAUCCUUUGUACUAUACUUGUUUGUAUUAUGGCGAGUAGAAGAGCCAGUGGCCAAGGAUCCGGGUGUUCAGCAGGUAGAAGUUGCUGAGUAGGAGCUCAUUGAAGGCAAGUUGUGCACUUGACCACUUUUAUUACCCAAUAAUGUUCUUUAUAAUCAUUAUUCGUGCAUAGGUUUAAUUUUGAUGGGACCCAACACGUGCCACCACAAGGGUGGAAUGGGACGCCCUUGGCUGACUAACUAGGAAAGCUAGUGGAGUACUACCUUACCCAGUAGGGGCAAGGUGUAACGCCCUGAAUUUGGGGGUAGAAUUUUUUCUUCUUUUCUCUCACCAAAUUCGGGCGUUACUCUCUUUUCUCUUUCCCCGUUUGCUCCUUCUUCCCAAUUUCAAACCAGUAUAGCGACGGGUAUCCGUGUCAUGUAUAAACCAAACCCUAAGUCUCAUGGGUGUUGCAUCAUGCCGAAGCACAUUUCUUUGUCUGAUGUUGAAUGUUCGUCUCGUUCCGUUCCGGAUUUCGGUUCGCGAUUUAAUUCCGUUUAGUGGUCGCGCUCGUCGUGGGUUUUCGAUCCGCGAAGUGGCCCGGCCCAACCUAGCCCAGCCCAGCCGGCCCGGCCCGCCCCGGCCUGCGCGCCCCUGGCGCCUAAACCCCCCCCCCCCAUGCGCCCUCCCCUCCCCUUCUCCUCUCUCUCUCCCUCUCCCUCCUCUUCUUCCCCCCCCCCCCCGCGCGCGCCCUCCCUCUCCCCUGCCCGCGCGCGACCCCGUCCCCGCCCGCCCCUACCCGGCGCGGCGGCGCCCGCCCCCUGCCCCUCCCCGCGGCGGCGAUCUCGCCCGCCCCUGCUCGCCCGCGGCGGCGCCCGCUCGCCCCUGCCCGCCCGGCGGCGCUCCCCGCCCCUCCCCCGCGCGCGGUGGCGAUCCCGCCGCCCAGCUCGGCCGCCAUGGCCGGCUCGGCCGCCCCCGCGCCCUGCCCCGUGCCCGGCCGGCUCGGCCGCCCCCGCGCCCUGCCCCGUGCCCGCCCGGCUCGGCCGCCCCCGUGCCCGCCCGGCUCGGCCGCCCCUGUGGCCGCCCGGCCUCGGCCGCCCCUGGCCGGUUCAACCGCCCCCCUGGCCGGUUCAACCGCCCUGGCCCCAGCUCGCCCGCCCGUUCCCCCGUCCCGGCCUCGCCCGACCGUAUCUUCGCUCGCCCGCGCUCGCGGUGAUUAUUCGUUAAUUAGCGUGUUGCGUCGCGCGCUUCGCCGCGCGACGGAUUUGUCUAAAUUCAUAUUCUAUCUUGUGUUGCGUCGUGCGCUUCGUCGCACGACGAUCCAUUUUUGCUUCAGGUUGUUUAAGGUGUAACGCCGCGUGUGUAUUCACGCGACGUUCCACUUUGGACUCAGUUUAGCCGACGUAUGCCGUCGUGCGCUUCGUCGCGCGACGCUUAACGUCUCUUCUUAACUAAGGCAAAGUGUCUCGUUGCGUGCUCGGUCGCGCGACGAGUCGUUAACUUUUUAAUUUUGUUUUAGAGAGCUUUGUCGCGCGUCUCGCCGCGCGACCAUCCUUUUAUGUAUCUCCACCUGCUUAUAAUAAUUAGACAUGAAACAUGACUUUACUUUACGCUAAACAUAGUGUCUACAUUAAAUUUCCUUCCAUUAAGCGAGUGGUUAAUUUAUAAUCAUGUAACGUGAUCGUUUCUCGACUGUCUUUUUCUCUUUCUCUCUUAACCGUACUCGCGAGCCUGCGUAGAACGUCUGUUUACUUAUUGCAUUCUAUUGUAUGGUGUACUGUUCUUUGGUAUUAAAUAUGUGGAUGUGUGUAUGUUUGCGCUCGCAUAGAGAACGAUCCGGUUGAAGAGCCCGAGGAACUCGCAGGAGAAGCCCCUGAGCAGUAGUCGGUUGGUGGAGGCAAGUGUCCCUUGACCUAUCUAUGUCCUAUUCAUUAUUUAAUUCACCUCCCGCUUUACACAUUUAUGCCUAAGGAUUGACUAGCUUUUGUUAUCCAUGUCCUUGUUUACCUAUUUGGGUUGGAUUAUUACUGUUUAGCUUUAUGCUACUGCUUAACUCUAAUCAAUGAACAUGAUGAGAUUAUCUAUGAUACGCUGUUUCCCCUCUUCUUAUUAUGAUGUUGUGCUUGUGGUCAUCAAGGGGGCUCGAGCGGUUUCUCGAGUGCAUCUCCGUAAGGACCUGUUCUAUGGAUGACCGCCCGGGAAAACAGUGCAACCAUGAGGGUGGAAUGGGGUGCCCUUAGCUGAAUAAUUAGAGGACCCGGGGUGUAGUUCGCUUAGCCGUCGUGCCGUCAAUGGGGCUCGGUGUAUGCGGCUCGCUCUGCCAAGUUUGGGUUCGCCCCUUGGGGAGGAGUGCGGUGCAUUUAGGAAACCUAACGGGUGGCUACAGCCCCGGGGAAUCUUUGUAAAGGCUACGUAGUGAUGCCCUGCUGGGUCACCUUGGUAGUGAUCAAUGGAGAGUCAUGAUCUCCGGGCAGAAUGGGAAUCACGGCUUGUGGGUAAAGUGCACAACCUCUGCAGAGUGUUUGAAAACUGAUAUAUCAGCCGUGCUCGCGGUUAUGAGCGGCCAAGGGAGCUCCAGUGAUUAAUGGUACUUGAUCAGAGAUACUUUGGUACAGGUGGUUAUGAGAUUGAUGGUUUUGGUUAUGACUAUGAUGCUGGUAAGUGGUACUCUUUCCGUUUGGAAAGGAGUACGUUUGGGUUAAUAACUUGGGAUUAAUGCUAAAACUUGGCUUCCUACUAGUAAGUAAUAAUCUGACCAACUAAAAGCAACUGCUUGACUUAUCCCCACAUAAAGCUAGUCCACUACAGCCAAACAGGAUACUUGCUGAGUAUGUUGAUGUGUACUAACCCUUGCUCUACACACCAAACCCCCCCAUCCCCAGGUUGUCAGCAUUGCAACCACUGCUCAGGCGAAGAUGAAGCUGUGGAAGGAGACUUCCAGGAGUUCCAAGACUACGACGAGUUCUAGGUGUGGGUUAGCGGCAACCCCCAGUCGGCUGCCUGUGAAGGCCGCGGUUAUCUACGUUUCUUUUCCGCACUUUGAUUUAUUGUAAGAAUUAUAUGGACGUCUCAGACGUA